UAAACAAAAACUCAGACCAUUAAGUCCAAA
RNAcentral lists this non-coding RNA (30 nucleotides) under Rattus norvegicus (Norway rat). Lineage: Eukaryota; Metazoa; Chordata; Mammalia; Rodentia; Muridae. The record is from RNAcentral.